GACGAACGCUGGCGGCGCGCUUAACACAUGCAAGUCGAACGGAAAGGCCUGCUUUCCCUUGUGGAUUGCGGGUACGCGAGUGGCGAACGGGUGAGUAACACGUGAGUGAUCGGCCCCCAACUUGGGUAUAAGUCUGGGAAACUGAGUCUAAUUCACGUUAGGACUGCAGGGUGGUGCCUGUGGUGGAAAACGAUUUGCUAGCGGCUGAGGAUGAGCUUGCGUGGGAUCAGCUUGUCGGUGGGGGAAUGGCCUAGCAAGGCGGCGAGGGUUAACUGGCCUAUUGGGACUGAGAGACGCCACAGGACCGUACGGCGGCCCGUAGUGGGGCAUAUGACAGAAUGAGGGGAAGUCUGAUGCAGCGACGCAGCGUGGGGGAUGACGGCCUUGUGGUUGUAUACUCCUUUCGACCGCGAAGGAGCUACCUGGGUGGAAGGGUGGUGACGGUAGUGGUAGAAGAAGCACCGGCUAACUACGUG
This 476-nucleotide ribosomal RNA is filed under the name uncultured bacterium. Its description in RNAcentral is "partial 16S ribosomal RNA". It matches the Rfam family "Bacterial small subunit ribosomal RNA", at positions 28 to 507 of the family's 1533-position model. The record is from RNAcentral.